Molecule: ribosomal RNA, 228 nt
Filed under: uncultured Bacillota bacterium
Lineage: Bacteria; Bacillati; Bacillota
Description: uncultured Firmicutes bacterium partial 16S ribosomal RNA
Rfam family: Bacterial small subunit ribosomal RNA
Source: RNAcentral
GAGUAACACGUGAAGAACCUGCCUUACAGAGGGGGACAACAGCUGGAAACGGCUGCUAAUACCGCAUAACGCUAGAGUGUGGCAUCACAUUUUAGCCAAAAGAGCAAUCUGCUGUAAGAUGGCUUCGCGUCCGAUUAGACAGUUGGCGGGGUAACGGCCCACCAAAUCUACGAUCGGUAGCCGGACUGAGAGGUUGAACGGCCACAUUGGGACUGAGACACGGCCCAG